GACGAACGCUGGCGGCGUGCUUAACACAUGCAAGUCGAACGGUGAACUCCGCUUGCGGGGGGAUCAGUGGCGCACGGGUGAGUAACACGUGGGCAACCUGCCCUCAGCUCUGGGAUAACUCCAAGAAAUUGGGGCUAAUACCGGAUAUGACCGCUGACCGCAUGGUCUGGUGGUGGAAAGAUUUAUCGGCUGGGGAUGGGCCCGCGGCCUAUCAGCUUGUUGGUGGGGUAGUGGCCUACCAAGGCGACGACGGGUAGCCGGCCUGAGAGGGUGACCGGCCACACUGGGACUGAGACACGGCCCAGACUCCUACGGGAGGCAGCAGUGGGGAAUAUUGCGCAAUGGGCGAAAGCCUGACGCAGCGACGCCGCGUGGGGGAUGACGGCCUUCGGGUUGUAAACCUCUUUCAGCAGGGACGAAGCGAAAGUGACGGUACCUGCAGAAGAAGCACCGGCCAACUACGU
This 464-nucleotide ribosomal RNA is filed under the name uncultured bacterium. RNAcentral describes it as "partial 16S ribosomal RNA". It matches the Rfam family "Bacterial small subunit ribosomal RNA", at positions 28 to 506 of the family's 1533-position model. The record is from RNAcentral.